UGGGGAAUAUUGCACAAUGGGCGCAAGCCUGAUGCAGCAAUGCCGCGUGAGUGAAGACGGCCUUAGGGUUGUAAAACUCUUUCGCUAGGGAAGAUAAUGACGGUACCUAGUAAAGAAGUCCCGGCUAACUCCGUGCCAGCAGCCGCGGUAAUACGGAGGGGACUAGCGUUGUUCGGAAUUACUGGGCGUAAAGAGUUCGUAGGCGGACUAGCAAGUUAGAGGUGAAAUCCCAGGGCUCAACCUUGGAACUGCCUUUAAAACUGCUAGUCUAGAGACCGGAAGAGGUUAGGGGAAUACCUAGUGUAGAGGUGAAAUUCGUAGAUAUUAGGUGGAACACCAGUGGCGAAGGCGCCUAACUGGUCCGGUACUGACGCUGAGGAACGAAAGCGUGGGGAGCAAACAGGAUUAGAUACCCUGGUAGUCCACGCCGUAAACGAUGAGUGCUAGUCGUCGGCAGGCAUGCCUGUC
RNAcentral lists this ribosomal RNA (468 nucleotides) under uncultured bacterium. Its description in RNAcentral is "bacterial SSU rRNA". It matches the Rfam family "Bacterial small subunit ribosomal RNA", at positions 355 to 841 of the family's 1533-position model. The record is from RNAcentral.